GUUGUGCCCUUGAGGCGUGGCUUCCGGAGCUAACGCGUUAAGUCGACCGCCUGGGGAGUACGGCCGCAAGGUUAAAACUCAAAUGAAUUGACGGGGGCCCGCACAAGCGGUGGAGCAUGUGGUUUAAUUCGAUGCAACGCGAAGAACCUUACCUGGUCUUGACAUCCACAGAAGUUUUCAGAGAUGAGAAUGUGCCUUCGGGAACCGUGAGACAGGUGCUGCAUGGCUGUCGUCAGCUCGUGUUGUGAAAUGUUGGGUUAAGUCCCGCAACGAGCGCAACCCUUAUCCUUUGUUGCCAGCGGUCCGGCCGGGAACUCAAAGGAGACUGCCAGUGAUAAACUGGAGGAAGGUGGGGAUGACGUCAAGUCAUCAUGGCCCUUACGACCAGGGCUACACACGUGCUACAAUGGCGCAUACAAAGAGAAGCGGCCUCGCGAGAGCAAGCGGACCUCAUAAAGUGCGUCGUAGUCCGGAUUGGAGUCUGCAACUCGACUCCAUGAAGUCGGAAUCGCUAGUAAUCGUGGAUCAGAAUGCCACGGUGAAUACGUUCCC
This 552-nucleotide ribosomal RNA is filed under the name Escherichia coli. RNAcentral describes it as "bacterial SSU rRNA". It matches the Rfam family "Bacterial small subunit ribosomal RNA", at positions 823 to 1375 of the family's 1533-position model. Lineage: Bacteria; Pseudomonadati; Pseudomonadota; Gammaproteobacteria; Enterobacterales; Enterobacteriaceae. The record is from RNAcentral.